AGUCACAGAGUAUACAGAGGCGGAACUCGCGGCGAUUCCUUUGUUCUUUGUGUCCCCGUGCAACGUCAUUUCCACGCGCCACGCAAAUUGCUCUGGCAAGUGUCAUUCGUCGUGUUUUCAGUCAAAAGCAUAGGAAAAACACCGUUCGAAAGUAGAAAAAUAAAUAUUUUUGCGAAGUUGCUCGACCGAUCUUCAUUUUGGGACUCAAAUUUGAAAGAUAAAUGGUAAGUGGUUAUUUUUAUGUAAAAAGAUAUACGUUUAUAGGCUAAAUACAAAGAAAAAAUAGUAUAAUACAAUAUACAAUCUCGGUGCUUGUGAUGUUCUGCCAAGAAGCAGAUUCUCAUUUCGCUAAUUUCGCUAUAAAAUUAAUGCGGGCCAAACGUAUUGCUUUCCUGUCUUUUACAUUAUUAAUAAGAAAGCAUAGGUGCUUAUUUGAAACACGUCCAUCAGGUUCCAUGCAUGUAGCUUUGGGAUUUGUGAGCAAAACUACCUAUGUUUUUAAUACUUUCUGUGCAACUAUAAAUAACCACAUUCACAAAUGUAUUCUCCAGCAAAGAAACGUUUCUUUACGGGUUGUUAUUCCGCAUUUGAAGGCAUGCUUAUGCAUGCUUAUGCCUUCAAAGGUCAGAGGUCUUGAACAUGCAGAAUAGCAGAGACUACUGUCAUUGACAUCCUUUGUCACAAAAUUAUGAUGGCAUAUUGGACAGCUAUGUUGGAUAAGGCACUUCCUUAAUAAAUAGCCUAACACAUAAGUUCAUGCAGACUAAGUUUUGUUCAAUUUCAUUUGUUUUGUAGUCGGUAUCUUCAACUGCUUGGAUUAGUGGUGGGCUUGUCUAAUCAUUCCCUGCAGAUAAAUCAGAUUGGCUAAGGUGAAAUGCAAUCAAAUAGGCAUCAGAAUCUUCAGCACAGCUGCCAAUUGAAAGUGGUGUCAAAAUGUUAUCUACAAAUAAUAUGCAAAAUGCUCUGGUGAACUGGAUGGGACUAAUGGGUUGUCACAAUCCCCCCCCCCCCUGCCUAAUGAGGCCAAAGAAGUUCUCCAGAGGAUCCUGGUUGAGACAUCUUGUCAUGAGAAACUCCAAGGAAUGAUGUUGGUUAAGGUCUUGAAAUGUAAAUACUACAGUGUAAAUACUACAAUGAAAUGUAAAUACAACAGUGUAAUUGGGGUUUAAAAAAUACAAAGUUUAUUUUAAUAAAUGUUUAUUUUAUUUCACAUUUAUAUACAUUUAAGAACUUAAAUUAUUCAAAAACUAAAUAAAUAUGUGUUCAAUGUCAAUGAAUAUUCUAAAUUUUUUAUUCCAAAAUAGGCAAUAACUGUUUCCUUUAUAGUUGACCCCACAUGUUGUCAUGAAAAUUAAUACUAAAUAAAAAAGUAGCCAAUGAUCCAUGUUUCCUCUUACAGUCUUUGCUUUAUAUGAAAAGUUAAAUACUAUGAAUAAUUGCAUUGUUCCUUUUAUUGAUAAAGAGUUUCCCAUUAAAAGAGAAAGUAUUCCCAAUUAAUACUUUCCCUUUAAAGUCAUGUGCCCACCCCUUGAUGAGUAAAAUUGUCUGCUGUUAGACAGAGUAAAAUAAUAAAGUAGGGUGCAUCAGGGCACCAAGUUGGGUAACUAACAAGUAAAAUUGUCUAGCUUUACAGUACAUCUUCCAAGGGGGGCUGGAUUUGGAGAGCAGGCCUACCACUUUUAGUUGCAUUGGGGGGGGGGGGCUGCUUUUUUGAACCUCAAUUAAACUAUUACAGUAAUCUGAAGGCCUGUUUAUAUGGUCUCCGGGUACUAGGGAAAUCCUACCCCCCACUUGUCUUGCCUAGUGGGAUGAUCCAGGUAGCAAGGUCACACCGCCAGGGGGUACAGCAUCUCUAUUACUCAAGAUUAAUUAUAUAAACAUUGCCUGAGGCUAUGUAAAAUUGGUAGGCAUUCCAAUAUAAGAUCAAAUAGUCUCAGGUUUUCCCCAAUCAGGCGAACAAAUUAACAUAGUUGUAAGAUUCUGCAUCUGAUUCAUUGUAAUGAAUAAUGUAGUUCAACAGGAAUGAUUGGCAAUCUAGAAAAGCAAAAUAAAAAAUAAAAUAAAUAAACAGA
This is a non-coding RNA of Paramuricea clavata, 2072 nucleotides long. The record is from the annotation of a GenBank genome assembly. Lineage: Eukaryota; Metazoa; Cnidaria; Anthozoa; Malacalcyonacea; Plexauridae.